CCUACGGGAGGCAGCAGUGAGGAAUAUUGGUCAAUGGCCGAGAGGCUGAACCAGCCAAGUCGCGUGAGGGAUGACGGCCCUACGGGUUGUAAACCUCUUUUGUCGGGGAGCAAAGUCCGGGACGCGUCCCGGUUUGAGUGUACCCGGAGAAAAAGCAUCGGCUAACUCCGUGCCAGCAGCCGCGGUAAUACGGAGGAUGCGAGCGUUAUCCGGAUUUAUUGGGUUUAAAGGGUGCGUAGGCGGGAUAUCAAGUCAGCGGUAAAAUCGCGGGGCUCAACCCCGGCCGGCCGUUGAAACUGGUGGUCUUGAGUGGGCGAGAAGUAUGCGGAAUGCGUGGUGUAGCGGUGAAAUGCAUAGAUAUCACGAAGAACUCCGAUUGCGAAGGCAGCAUACCGGCGCCCGACUGACGCUGAAGCACGAAAGCGUGGGUAUCGAACAGGAUUAGAUACCCUAGUAGUC
Molecule: ribosomal RNA, 459 nt
Filed under: uncultured bacterium
Lineage: Bacteria
Description: partial 16S ribosomal RNA
Rfam family: Bacterial small subunit ribosomal RNA
Source: RNAcentral